RNAcentral lists this ribosomal RNA (305 nucleotides) under uncultured bacterium. RNAcentral's name for it is "bacterial SSU rRNA". It matches the Rfam family "Bacterial small subunit ribosomal RNA", at positions 335 to 638 of the family's 1533-position model. The record is from RNAcentral.
AGCCUACGGGAGGCAGCAGUGAGGAAUAUUGGUCAAUGGCCGAGAGUCUGAGCCAGCCCAGUAGCGUGAAGGAUGACUGCCCUAUAGGUUGUAAACGUCUUUUAUAAAGGAAUAAAACGAGGCACGUGUGCCUUUUUUCAUGUACUUUAUGAAUAAGGAUCGGCUAACUCCGUGCCAGCAGCCGCGGUAAUACGGAGGAUCCGAGCGUUAUCCGGAUUUAUUGGGUUUAAAGGGAGCGUAGAUGGGUUGUUAAGUCAGUUGUGAAAGUUUGCGGGUCAACCGUAAAAUUUCAAUUGAUACUGGCA